This 445-nucleotide ribosomal RNA is filed under the name uncultured Diversispora. Its description in RNAcentral is "SSU rRNA". It matches the Rfam family "Eukaryotic small subunit ribosomal RNA", at positions 569 to 1016 of the family's 1831-position model. The record is from RNAcentral. Lineage: Eukaryota; Fungi; Glomeromycota; Glomeromycetes; Diversisporales; Diversisporaceae.
AGCAGCCGCGGUAAUUCCAGCUCCAAUAGCGUAUAUUAAAGUUGUUGCAGUUAAAAAACUCGUAGUUGAACUUCGGGGUUUACCCAUUGGUCAGGCUUAAUUGUCUGCACUGGUGAGAUGAAUCUCUACCUUCUGAGGAACUUUCAUGCCAUUUAUUUGGUGUGAUGGGAAAUCAGGACUGUUACUUUGAAAAAAUUAGAGUGUUUAAAGCAGGCUAACGUCUGAAUACAUUAGCAUGGAAUAAUGAAAUAGGACGGACUGAUUCUAUUUCGUUGGUUUCUAGGAUCACCGUAAUGAUUAAUAGGGAUAGUUGGGGGCAUUAGUAUUCAAUUGUCAGAGGUGAAAUUCUUGGAUUUAUUGAAGACUAACUACUGCGAAAGCAUUUGCCAAGGAUGUUUUCAUUAAUCAAGAACGAAAGUUAGGGGAUCGAAGACGAUCAGAUACC